This 568-nucleotide ribosomal RNA is filed under the name uncultured archaeon. Its description in RNAcentral is "bacterial SSU rRNA". It matches the Rfam family "Archaeal small subunit ribosomal RNA", at positions 326 to 900 of the family's 1478-position model. The record is from RNAcentral.
CGGGGUGCAGCAGGCGCGAAAACUUUACAAUGCCGGCAACGGCGAUAAGGGAACCUCGAGUGCCAGGUUAUAAAUCUGGCUGUCGUGAUGCCUAAAAAGCAUUGCAUAGCAAGGGCCGGGCAAGACCGGUGCCAGCCGCCGCGGUAACACCGGCGGCUCGAGUGGUAACCGUUAUUAUUGGGUCUAAAGGGUCUGUAGCCGGCCGGAUAAGUCUCUUGGGAAAUCCAGCAGCUCAACUGUUGGGCUUCCAGGAGAUACUGUCUGGCUCGAGGCCGGGAGAGGUGAGAGGUACUUCAGGGGUAGGGGUGAAAUCUUGUAAUCCUUGAAGGACCACCAGUGGCGAAGGCGUCUCACCAGAACGGACCUGACGGCAAGGGACGAAAGCUAGGGGCACGAACCGGAUUAGAUACCCGGGUAGUCCUAGCCGUAAACGAUACUCGCUAGGUGUCGGCCACGGUGCGACCGUGGUCGGUGCCGUAGGGAAGCCGUGAAGCGAGCCACCUGGGAAGUACGGCCGCAAGGCUGAAACUUAAAGGAAUUGGCGGGGGAGCACAAGGGCGAUUCGCGG